This is a long non-coding RNA of Betta splendens (Siamese fighting fish), 534 nucleotides long. RefSeq lists it as uncharacterized. The transcript is spliced from 3 exons. Lineage: Eukaryota; Metazoa; Chordata; Actinopteri; Anabantiformes; Osphronemidae. The record is from RefSeq and is a predicted model, not a curated record.
GCGGUCACUGUGGGACCAGCCUGUGGCCUCCAGGCGGCAGACGUGGUCUCAGGGGGGCGGUCAGUAGGAGCUGUCACAUGAUCCUCCAGUGGAGAUGCAGAUGAGCCGAGGAGGCGCAGUAUGGAGCAGUCCUCGCCCGUGCAGGUGAACACGCCCACAGGGGCUGAAGUGGAAGUGUGGAUUCAUCUCCGAGGCUCAAAGACAUCCAUCCAGGAACCACUGACAUCCUUCAUGUCACUUAGUCUUUUAAACGCAUGACGCCGGAGAUGUUCUGGACUUUCUCAGCCACCACUUAAUGCUGUGCAGAAUAAAUAAGCUGGCAACGCAGGGAAACACUGGUGAGACAGAGUGUGUUCUCUGGACCCGCGCCACUGCUUGGUUGUCAGUGUAAAUAAUCUAUGUUUCCAGAUUCCAGGUGGCCGUUGAAGCUGAAUGUAGCACAAAUAUCACAUGAUCUGACACAUUGUCUCUAACCAUACAGGUGAUGCUUCGAAUUCAAAGUACAGAGUCAAUGUCAGUAAAUGUAUGUGUCUC